UUUGUGCCGUGUCUGAAACGUCAUCGUCACUUAAACAUAUGGCCAAUGAGGUAUCGCUCUUAUACGGUAUAUAAACCGGUUGUCUAUGCCUCCUGGAGUGCGUCACGGUGAAAGGCCCGCCCCCUUUCUUUCAUUGCGGUGGAAUACAGAGUGUGACGUUGGUCCAUCGAGGCUGUGUGUACAUGUGGUGUGCUGCUUACUCCCAGUGCGCUGUGCGCCAUGGCAGGGUAAUAGCCAGGUCGGAGCACCAGCUGUUUAUAGUGGUAUUACCAACUAAAGGAGCUACUAUAUGACUGUGGUUGUGAGUGUUAUGCCAUCCAAAUAUAGGGUGAGUAAAUGGUUUACGUUUUCUUUCUUUGUAGGAUUUUGUAUGUCUUUUCUUAAAAUGAGUUUGUAACGGAUGUUUGUUUCGGAUCCCCGUAUGCACUGAG
Molecule: long non-coding RNA, 431 nt
Organism: Onychostoma macrolepis
Lineage: Eukaryota; Metazoa; Chordata; Actinopteri; Cypriniformes; Cyprinidae
Exons: 3
Source: RefSeq, a predicted model, not a curated record